Molecule: ribosomal RNA, 443 nt
Filed under: uncultured bacterium
Lineage: Bacteria
Description: partial 16S ribosomal RNA
Rfam family: Bacterial small subunit ribosomal RNA
Source: RNAcentral
CCUACGCGAGGCAGCAGUGGGGAAUAUUUGGCCAUGGGCGCAAGCCUGACCCAGCAACGCCGCGUGAAGGACGAAGGCUUUCGGGUUGUACACUUCUUUUCUCAGGGACGAAGAAAGUGACGGUACCUGCGGAAUAAGCCACGGCUACCUCCGUGCCAGCAGCCGCGGUAAUACGUAGGUGGCAAGCGUUAUCCGGAUUUAUUGGGUGUAAUGGGCGUGUAGGCGGGAGAGUAAGUCAGAUGUGAAAACUCAGGGCUCAACCCUGGGCCUGCAUUUGAAACUGUGUUUCUUGAGUGAUGGAGAGGCAAACGGAAUUCCGGGUGUAGCGGUGAAAUGCGUAGAUAUACGGAGGAACACUAGUGGCGAAGGCGGAUUGCUGGACAGUAACUGACGCUGAGGCGCGAAAGCGUGGGGAGCGAACAGGAGUAGAUACCCUAGUAGUC